CACCAUGAAGGACGUGCAGAGGGUCUUCAAUGGCCUCUACAAGGAGGUGAACCGUGAGACGCAGCAGUGGUACACCGUGACCCACCCGGUGCCCAUACCCCGGCCUGGAGCGUGCAUCACCAACAGUGCCCGGGAAAGGAAGAUCAACUCAUCCCUGCAGCUCCCAGAUCGCGUGCUGAACUUCCUCAAGGACCACUUCCUGAUGGAUGGGCAGGUCCGAAGCCGCAUGCUGCUGCUGCAGCCCCAGGCUCGCUACCAGCGCGUGGCUGUACACCGCGUCCCUGGCCUGCACCACACCUACGAUGUCCUCUUCCUGGGCACUGGUAAGUGUCUGCAGCCCAGCAGGCUCAGGGGAAGGGGUGCACAUGACUGGUGGGUCAUGGGCAGUGGGCUCCACCAGGGCCUGAGUCCUGUCCACACCCCAGGUGACGGCCGGCUUCACAAGGCAGUGAGCGUGGGCCCCCGGGUGCACAUCAUUGAGGAGCUGCAGAUCUUCUCAUCGGGACAGCCUGUGCAGAAUCUGCUCCUGGACACCCACAGGGGACUGCUGUAUGC
This 555-nucleotide small RNA is filed under the name Pongo abelii (Sumatran orangutan). RNAcentral describes it as "retained intron". Lineage: Eukaryota; Metazoa; Chordata; Mammalia; Primates; Hominidae. The record is from RNAcentral.